RNAcentral lists this ribosomal RNA (253 nucleotides) under uncultured bacterium. RNAcentral's name for it is "partial 16S ribosomal RNA". It matches the Rfam family "Bacterial small subunit ribosomal RNA", at positions 524 to 776 of the family's 1533-position model. The record is from RNAcentral.
UACGAAGGGUGCUAGCGUUGUUCGGAUUUACUGGGCGUAAAGCGUACGUAGGCGGCUUGAUAAGUCAAACGUGAAAUCCCUAGGCUCAACCUAGGAACUGCAUUUGAUACUGUCUAGCUCGAGUUUGGUGGGGGAUAGUGGAAUUCCUAGUGUAGGGGUGAAAUCCGUAGAUAUUAGGAGGAACACCAGUGGCGAAGGCGACUAUCUACGCCAACACUGACGCUAAGGUACGAAAGCGUGGGGAGCAAACAGG